AGUAACAUGAUGGACGCAGACGGAACGGAACAUUUUCUCUCGUGUUUUUCUCACAUUUCUGAGAUGUCAUGACCUGCUUUUACGACCCCACAGCUGAGUUCGUGUUACUUGUCGUGUGUCGAUGCUCGUGGACAUUUUCUGUCGGGACUAUUAACUAUUAACGCCCGUGAAAAUAUUGACAGAGAAAAGAGGAACCAAGCCUUGCUGAAGAGACUGAGGAACCCAUCACCACAGAACCAGAACCAAAGGAGGAGUCUGAGGCACAGCGGACCUCCCCUGAACCUGAACCUGAACCUGAACCUGUGAAGACCACUGAGCCAGAGCCUGAGUCUGAGCCAGAACCAGAGCCAGAGCCCGAAUUAGAAGA
Molecule: long non-coding RNA, 367 nt
Organism: Centropristis striata (black sea bass)
Lineage: Eukaryota; Metazoa; Chordata; Actinopteri; Perciformes; Serranidae
Exons: 3
Source: RefSeq, a predicted model, not a curated record